This 89-nucleotide ribosomal RNA is filed under the name uncultured bacterium. RNAcentral's name for it is "partial 16S ribosomal RNA". The record is from RNAcentral.
CGUUGUAAACUGCUUUUAUACCAGAGAAAACCUAUCUACGUGUAGAUAGCUGAUAGUAUGGUAAGAAUAAGCAUCGGCUAACUUCGUGC